RNAcentral lists this ribosomal RNA (461 nucleotides) under Oenococcus oeni. RNAcentral's name for it is "bacterial SSU rRNA". It matches the Rfam family "Bacterial small subunit ribosomal RNA", at positions 1077 to 1533 of the family's 1533-position model. Lineage: Bacteria; Bacillati; Bacillota; Bacilli; Lactobacillales; Lactobacillaceae. The record is from RNAcentral.
GGGUUAAGUCCCGCAACGAGCGCAACCCUUGUUAUUAGUUGCCAGCAUUUAGUUGGGCACUCUAAUGAGACUGCCGGUGAUAAACCGGAGGAAGGUGGGGACGACGUCAGAUCAUCAUGCCCCUUAUGACCUGGGCAACACACGUGCUACAAUGGGAAGUACAACGAGUCGCAAACCGGCGACGGUAAGCUAAUCUCUUAAAACUUCUCUCAGUUCGGACUGGAGUCUGCAACUCGACUCCACGAAGGCGGAAUCGCUAGUAAUCGCGAAUCAGCAUGUCGCGGUGAAUACGUUCCCGGGUCUUGUACACACCGCCCGUCAAAUCAUGGGAGUCGGAAGUACCCAAAGUCGCUUGGCUAACUUUUAGAGGCCGGUGCCUAAGGUAAAAUCGAUGACUGGGAUUAAGUCGUAACAAGGUAGCCGUAGGAGAACCUGCGGCUGGAUCACCUCCUUUCUAAGGA